Solanum dulcamara is the source of this 159-nucleotide small nuclear RNA. RefSeq annotates it as U1 spliceosomal RNA. The transcript has a single exon. NCBI's taxonomy places the organism in Eukaryota, Viridiplantae, Streptophyta, Magnoliopsida, Solanales, Solanaceae. The record is from RefSeq and is a predicted model, not a curated record.
AUACUUACCAGGACUAGGUCAUGGGUGAUCAAUAAGGCCCAUGGCCUAGGCUGGUGGCCUCCAUUGCACUUUGGAGGGAUGUCUGCCUAAGGCUGGCCAAAGUGGUCGAGCCUACAUCAUAAUUUAUGGCAGUGGGAGCCUACUUUCGUGCGGCCCCAA